RNAcentral lists this long non-coding RNA (283 nucleotides) under Elaeis guineensis (African oil palm). Its description in RNAcentral is "long non-coding RNA (EGUI_LNC005136)". Lineage: Eukaryota; Viridiplantae; Streptophyta; Magnoliopsida; Arecales; Arecaceae. The record is from RNAcentral.
UUUUUUUUCUUUUUUCUUCCGUUCUUUUCUUUUUAUUUCUUCUUCCUCUGACAUCUUAGGCAAAAUAGGGGAGCAUGUGCCCUCCCCUCCCAUCUUAGAAUAGGAAAGAGGAGCGAAAGAAGUGUGGGUGGUGGCUACCGAUCAGAGAGGAUGAUGGUCGACCACCAUCAGCAGCAGUCGAUGGUAACAGCGGCUGACGAUGAAGAGAUAAAACAAAGAAAACAAAACAAAAAUAGGGCUUUGCCUUUUAACCUAUACAUCUCUUAAUAUCUGGCGAUUGGGC